Molecule: long non-coding RNA, 1544 nt
Organism: Strigops habroptila (Kakapo)
Lineage: Eukaryota; Metazoa; Chordata; Aves; Psittaciformes; Psittacidae
Exons: 3
Source: RefSeq, a predicted model, not a curated record
GAUGUCUAAAUAACUGCCUGGAAAACUUUGCAUACUGGAAAAUGGAAGAAUGUAAAAGAUCUCUGGCAGCUAUCUCAUUUCAUACAAGGGCAAGUUUUAUCUUAAACCUAUCUAUACUCUCAGAAUGGGAUAAUGCCAACAAACCUUGCAAUAGCAAGGAAUGUGGAUUUCUCUGCCCUACUGCCUCCUUCUUGGAUCUUGCAGAAGCUCACCGGUGAGUGAAUCUUCCUUGCUUAGUGACACAUUGCAGGUUGAUUGCCCUGCUGCUGCCCUGGAGUCAAACGGUGACACCCAUAAAUACAGGUUUAGGAGUGUGUGAGGAGCACUGACCUUUGUCACAGCAGAUAAGAACAUCACUCCUUAUUCCCUGGUGGCUGAUUUUGUGUACGGCUGUAUGUAAACAGCUGUGGUUUGCCCUGGCCAGCUGGUUGUUGCCUGCGCUCUGCUCUGCCAGGCUCUGUGUCAUACUUGUGAUGCAGUCCUGAUGUGAUGUACUUGAAGCAUUUUCUGACUUUAUUUAUUUAUAUUUCUGAAAAGGACCGUUGCUUGUAUUCAACCACUUCUGCUCUGGUUACUUUCAGUGCUGGAUGCAGCUGUGCUCUGUACUAGGGUGGGGAGGUGGUGGAAAGCACUGCUCAGCAUCCCACUUCCGUUGUCAUCUGGCCCCACAGAAGAGAGAGGAGAACAGCAAAGUUGAGGAGCUGCCCUGACUGACUGACCUUCCAGGCAUCAGCUGUGGUUGCUGUAAUAUCACCCCUACCCUAGCCUACAAAGGUGGCACCCUCUCUCCUGUCACUACAAAGACUGGCGCUCCAAAAAGAAUCAGCAGAGGUACGAAAACUUACAAAAGCAAAUUUAAAAGAUGUGAAAAGACUGCAUGACUGCCUCCGAUACUGUUAGAGCACAGUGUUUAUGUACAUUUACUAUUCAUAUCUUAUUUUUGUAAGAACAAAACAUGAUGCUUCUAUUCAGGGCUAUAACUGACUGUAUUUUGUCUGCAGAGGAUGCCAGCCCAGCACUAGUGCAGAGGCAGACUUUAAGAGCUGAGUGGAAUUUCUGAAGGUAUUAGGCUUGUGCAGGGAUGAAAGAAUUCAGAUGAAUCAAAACAUCUUUAGGUGUGUAUAGUCUACACAGUUACAAUGAACAUGCUAGAAGAACAGAAUCUCACCCAAGCUGCUUCAGUGCCCUUUUUGGAGUCUGAAAGUGGGUUAAGACGCAUAUGCAGACAUGACUUUAUUUUGCAGGUAUUGGGCACAUAAGACAAUCCAGCCAGAGCUACAUUACCAAUCGGUUCACAUUUAAGUAACUACAAGGCUCCCUGAAUUUCUGCCAGAGUCGUUCUCCCCGUUCAGACCCAAAACCGUUCCCGACUUGCCUCCGCGCCUCAUGCCAGCGCGCCUCGGCUGGCUCGCCAAGUCUCUGCUGUGCAAAGCCUUAUCGGUAUACGGGCAGCUCUCGACACAGACUGCAACUCUGCUCGACGCUACAGGCGCAAAACAUUACUCCCGGCGUUUAUUUAGUAGGAUGCUGUGUUUGCCUGAGAA